GACGAACGCUGGCGGCGUGCUUAACACAUGCAAGUCGAGCGGAAAGGCCCUUCGGGGUACUCGAGCGGCGAACGGGUGAGUAACACGUGAGUAAUCUGCCCUUGGCUUUGGGAUAACUACCGGAAACGGUGGCUAAUACCGGAUACGACAACCGUCUGCAUGGGCUGGUUGUGGAAAGUUUUUUCGGCCAGGGAUGUGCUCGCGGCCUAUCAGCUUGUUGGUGGGGUAAUGGCCUACCAAGGCUUCGACGGGUAGCCGGCCUGAGAGGGUGACCGGCCACACUGGGACUGAGACACGGCGCAGACUCCUACGGGAGGCAGCAGUGGGGAAUAUUGGACAAUGGGCGGAAGCCUGAUCCAGCAACGCCGCGUGAGGGAUGACGGCCUUCGGGUUGUAAACCUCUUUCAGUACCGACGAAGCGCCGAUGAUGGUGGUGACGGUAGGUACAGAAGAAGCACCGGCCAACUACGUG
RNAcentral lists this ribosomal RNA (472 nucleotides) under uncultured bacterium. Its description in RNAcentral is "partial 16S ribosomal RNA". It matches the Rfam family "Bacterial small subunit ribosomal RNA", at positions 28 to 507 of the family's 1533-position model. The record is from RNAcentral.